GACCCAGCCUCCGCCCCUCCCCCUUAUCCCCCCCACUCCCUCAACUGGGACAGUGACUCCUGUCCCAAGAGGAGUGUGGAGAAAUGUGGAGGGAGAGAGGACCUGACAGGGGGGCACCUAGGCCUGAAGCUGGGGUCCGUCUGUGUCACCUUUGACCUUUAUCCUAAACAGUGCUCUCACACCUUCCCAACCCCCUGUUCGGAAACAAGACUGGAAGUGGAAAGUUCCAGAACUGAUGAGCCAAAGGACAAAACCGUGGGGAGCAGGCCUGGCCGCCGAGGCCCAGACCCUGGCAUUGGGCGCCUACGGCGGCUCUGGAGCACGUCUCUCAGGACGAACGGCCCACACAGAGAUCAGAUAAAUAUCACCCGGAAAAGAAUCUCAUAUACCUCUUUGGGGAAUCCUUCCUUCCCCACUCCUGCAUGCUCUCGCCAAAAAAAAAAAAAAUUUUAAAUAGAAAGACAAAGUUAGAGCAAAAGAAAAUAUGAAAAUAAAAGACAGGAGAAAAAGAAAACCUCACUGAAAUAGUUCGGGGAUUUACUUUUUUUUCAAUCCUCAGAAAGUCCCUCUCGCUACCUGGUUUCUAAAACAGACGGUAAACACAGAUGACAUCAGGUUGGGCAGCGCUGGUGUCUCACCGCCAGGGGCUCCCGGCAGGUGUGAGGCUGACAGGUUGAGAAAAGAU
This 685-nucleotide long non-coding RNA is filed under the name Equus caballus (horse). Its description in RNAcentral is "lncRNA (ENSECAG00000050385.1)". The record is from RNAcentral. Lineage: Eukaryota; Metazoa; Chordata; Mammalia; Perissodactyla; Equidae.